This is a non-coding RNA of Sporosarcina psychrophila, 44 nucleotides long. The record is from Rfam. Lineage: Bacteria; Bacillati; Bacillota; Bacilli; Caryophanales; Caryophanaceae.
AAAAAAGAGGUUCGAAAACUCCCUCUCUAAAAAACUAAGGAGAU